CAGGUCCCAGGAUCAUCCGUGAAUCCGGAAGGUCAAAAGGUCAACCUUUCUGAUAUCGAUGGCUGAAUGAACCAAGCGGUGGAGAUACAGAUGUGGUAAUGUAUAAUAUUUUAUGAUACUUAUUUAUUUCCUUAAUUAUUGUUUAUAUAUUUCUCAUUAAUCAUUUAUUUAUUUAUUUUCUAGAGCGUCCAUAAGCGGGCUAUUUACCCUCGGGCUAUUUUGUGGAGGGCUGUUUUGCCCAGGGUUGUUCUGGGUAGGGUUAGUGGCCUGUCCGGGACUGGUCAGUACAUGGACAAUAGACCAUCACAGACUCAUAUUUGCUCUAUAUAAUUUUUUCUUUUGUCAUUUCCGGUCCCAGGAUUUUUUUUCCGAAUGAACUCAGCAGUGGAGAUACGGAUGUUGUAAUGUAUCAUUUUUUAUGAUAUUUAUUUAUUUAUUCCUGCCCUCAAUUAUUACUUAUAUAUUUCUCAUUAAUCAUUUAUUUAUUUAUUUUCUAGAGUGUCCAUAAGCGGGCUAUUUAGCCUCGGGCUAUUUUGUGGAGGGCUGUUUUGCCCAGGGUUGUUCUGGGUAGGGUUAGUGGCCUGUCCAGGACUGGUCAGUAUAAGGACAAUAAAGAGAGGGUUGAAAUGGUUAAGUUUAGGGUUAGGAUUAGAAAAAAUCCAAGAGCUGAAGCACAGUCCAGCUCUGGUAAUGCACAGUCCUUCAAUACUCCUUCUGGCCGCUCUCCUGCCCCGGCCAAGGCCUGCCCCCACGGCCUAGGCCCACCACUUCACCACCAAUAUAUUUGGUCUUUUUAACGUUGAAC
Long non-coding RNA from Cyprinus carpio carpio, 805 nucleotides. NCBI's taxonomy places the organism in Eukaryota, Metazoa, Chordata, Actinopteri, Cypriniformes, Cyprinidae. The record is from Ensembl.